GGGAUUGCCCCAGUAACGGCGAGUGAAGCGGCAACAGCUCAAAUUUGAAAUCUGGCCCCCCCCCCCGGGGGGGCCCGAGUUGUAAUUUGCAAAGGAUGCUUUGGGCGAGGCGCCUUCCGAGUUCCCUGGAACGGGACGCCACAAAGGGUGAGAGCCCCGUCUGGUCGGACGCCGAGCCUCUGUAAAGCUCCUUCGACGAGUCGAGUAGUUUGGGAAUGCUGCUCAAAAUGGGAGGUAUAUGUCUUCUAAAGCUAAAUACCGGCCAAAAACCGAUAGCGCACAAGUAAAGUGAUCGAAAGAUGAAAAGCACCUUGAAAAGGGGGUUAAACAGUACGUGAAAUUGUUGAAAGGGAAGCGCUCGUGACCAGACUUGGGGCGGGCGGAUCACCCGGCGUUCUCGCCGGCGCACUCCGCCCGUCCCAGGCCAGCAUCAGUUCGCGCCGGGGGACAAAGGCGGCGGGAACGUGGCUCCCCAGGGAGUGUUAUAGCCCGCCGCGCCAUGCCCCGGGGGCGGACUGAGGGCCGCGCAUCACUGCAAGGAUGCUGGCGUAAUGGUCACCAGCGACCCGUCUUGAAACACGGGCCAAGGAGUCGUCCUCGUAUGCGAGUGUUCGGGUGUCAAACCCCUACGCGGAAUGAAAGUGAACGUGGGUGAGAGCUUCGGCGCAUCAUCGACCGAUCCUGAUGUUCUCGGAUGGAUUUGAGUAGGAGCAUACGGGGCCGGACCCGAAAGAAGGUGAACUAUGCCUGUGUAGGGUGAAGCCAGAGGAAACUCUGGUGGAGGCUCGCAGCGGUUCUGACGUGCAAAUCGAUCGUCAAACAUGGGCAUGGGGGCGAAAGACUAAUCGAA
This 850-nucleotide ribosomal RNA is filed under the name Aschersonia sp. JZQ-2014a. Its description in RNAcentral is "eukaryotic LSU rRNA". It matches the Rfam family "Eukaryotic large subunit ribosomal RNA", at positions 71 to 939 of the family's 3401-position model. The record is from RNAcentral. Lineage: Eukaryota; Fungi; Ascomycota; Sordariomycetes; Hypocreales; Clavicipitaceae.